ACCCGUGCAGAUGCGGGUUGCCUCCAGGGGGACGGGAAGACCCUAUGCAGCUUUACUGUAGUUAGUUAUCAUGUUAAUCUAGAACAAUCUUGGUUAAUAGUGAUUAGGGAAGUCGAUAGACGAAAUAUGGAAUACCUUAAAACCAAGGUUGGGUUAAUAUUAACCUUAUAAUUUAUAAUUAGAGGGAGAGUUGACUAAGUGGCAGUUUGACUGGGGCGGUCGUCUUUGAUAAAGUAGCAAAGUACAUCCAAAGAUUUUUUUUUUUAAUAAUCUCGCUAACCCCUUUCCUUUAGGUAAAGGAAGUGAGAUUCAAACUUAAAUUUUUAGUAUAAAUUAAAACUAUUAAAUAAAUAUAAAAUAUUAAAUUUAUUUUUUAUUUUGUAUUUUUAUUAACAUAAGGUAGAGCUAGAUAAUUGAAUGGAGAUCAAUCAACCAGUGAUAAAGGUUGUAAUCGGCGUAAUGGCGGAAAGCAUGCCUAACUGAAAGACCUAGAAGUCGCACAGAUACGUAAGUAGGGCAUAGUGACCCUUCGCUAUAAUAUGGAAUAGACGGGGAUCAAUCGAUAUAUAAGGCCCCUAAGAUUAAAAAUGUUCAAGUCAUGGAAUUAGCCAUCGCAGAGGG
Molecule: non-coding RNA, 621 nt
Filed under: Grifola frondosa (maitake)
Lineage: Eukaryota; Fungi; Basidiomycota; Agaricomycetes; Polyporales; Grifolaceae
Description: Bacterial large subunit ribosomal RNA
Rfam family: Bacterial large subunit ribosomal RNA
Source: Rfam by way of RNAcentral